UGCCUGCUUAGCUCAGUUGGUCAGAGCGUCCGUCUCAUACGCGGAAUGUCACUAGUUCAAAUCUAGUAGCAGGCACCC
RNAcentral lists this transfer RNA (78 nucleotides) under Picochlorum sp. 'soloecismus'. RNAcentral's name for it is "tRNA-Met". It matches the Rfam family "tRNA". From Rfam's summary of the family: Transfer RNA (tRNA) molecules are approximately 80 nucleotides in length. Their secondary structure includes four short double-helical elements and three loops (D, anti-codon, and T loops). The record is from RNAcentral. Lineage: Eukaryota; Viridiplantae; Chlorophyta; Trebouxiophyceae.